GACGAACGCUGGCGGCGUGCUUAACACAUGCAAGUCGAACGGAAAGGCCCCUUUGGGGUUACUCGAGUGGCGAACGGGUGAGUAACACGUGCGUAACCUGCCCUUGCCUUCGGGAUAACUUCAGGCAACUGGGGCUAAUACCGGCUAGGAAUCCUUGCUGCCUGGUGGGGGUUGGAAAGCUUCGUCGGUUUUGGAUGGACUCGCGGCUUAUCAGCUUGUUGGUGGGGUAGUGGCUUACCAAGGCUUUGACGGGUAGCCGGCCUGAGAGGGCGACCGGCCACAUUGGGACUGAGAUACGGCCCAGACUCCUACGGGAAGCAGCAGGGGGGAAUAUUGCAAAAUGGGCGGAAGCCUGAUGCAGCAACGCCGCGUGCGGGAUGACGGCCUUCGGGUUGUAAACCGCUUUCAGCAGGGGAGAAGCUUGGGGUGACGGUACCUGCAGAAGAAGCACCGGCUAACUACGUG
RNAcentral lists this ribosomal RNA (465 nucleotides) under uncultured bacterium. Its description in RNAcentral is "partial 16S ribosomal RNA". It matches the Rfam family "Bacterial small subunit ribosomal RNA", at positions 28 to 507 of the family's 1533-position model. The record is from RNAcentral.